AACUGGCUCUGAGAAGGAUGAUCAGGUCACACUGGAACUUGAGACACGGUCCAGACUCCUACGGGAGGCAGCAGUGGGGAAUAUUGGACAAUGGGCGAAAGCCUGAUCCAGCCAUGCCGCGUGUGUGAAGAAGGUCUUCGGAUUGUAAAGCACUUUAAGUUGGGAGGAAGGGCAGUUACCUAAUACGUGAUUGUUUUGACGUUACCGACAGAAUAAGCACCGGCUAACUCUGUGCCACCAGCCCCGGUAAUACAGAGGGUGCAAGCGUUCAUCGGAACUACUGGGCGUAAAGCGCGCGU
This 299-nucleotide ribosomal RNA is filed under the name Pseudomonas sp. Its description in RNAcentral is "partial 16S ribosomal RNA". It matches the Rfam family "Bacterial small subunit ribosomal RNA", at positions 284 to 572 of the family's 1533-position model. The record is from RNAcentral. Lineage: Bacteria; Pseudomonadati; Pseudomonadota; Gammaproteobacteria; Pseudomonadales; Pseudomonadaceae.